GCAAUGUUGUAUUCUGCAGUGUGACAAAAUAGAAACUGAGAGGUAACUGCCAUGAGAAAAAUCAACAUUAUGUUGGCAUAAUAAGGAGGAAAUUGGAACUGGAGACUACUUCCUUCCAUUGGUCUAUGGAUCUACGGAUAUGGCUUGGGUUCAGAAAAUUCAUUCCCGUUUGCCUCAGUCCCAGAUUUUGAAAUAUGAUUAGAAGUUCCGGAAUUCCAGGCUAAGAGAAUUAACUACCAGCCUAACAAUGGUUGUCAUAAAGGGCAUGGAAAAUACUUUCUUUAUGCUAGGACCGGGGUAGGCAACCUUGGCUCUUUUAUGAUUCGUGGACUUCAACUCCCAGAAUUCCUGAGCCAGCCAUCACAAGACCCAAAGCAGAAAGUUUAUUCAGGAAGCUCAAAGGAGUUUACAUGGAGAAUCUGAUUUCCAGAAGUCCCUCAACACAUGGUAAUGUCAACAGGCCUGGAGGUCCCAGGGAACCAGAGACAUGUUUAGAUAACUUCACUACUGAGAUACAGUAUGAUGAAGAAAACUCAUUCCUUAUAAAACUGGCACUGAAUUUUUGUCAGCUCUGGAUUAAAUCCAAUGCUGGCAAACUGGACUCCAAUAUUUACAAAUAAACACGCAGAAAAAUCUGAAGAAAAGUUGAGUCCCUGCAAAAAAGAUUUUAGAUCAAAUAAUCAUUUACUUUUUUAAUCUUCAUCGUCAAUGACCAUUUCUAGAGAAAUUGAAGGAAACAUAUUUGUACUGAGAUCAGUAUGUGGGUGAAGAUUUCUAUGGAAUUAUAUGGAUUAUUUGGAACUAUAUUGAAGCUAAUAUAAGUUUUUAAGAAAAUAUCAUAUGGUCUCCAGACAUGUAUUCUACUAUCAAAAGCACAUGAAUGAGAAAUGUGGAUCACAUCAAGCAUAAACUCAUCAAUGUUGAAUUUUGUCACAUUCCAUAUUUUACAAAUAAUCAUCUGAUACUUUAAUUGCUUUGUCUAUGUAGAUACUUCUGCUUGAACAGAUCUAUCUGGAGUAAAAGUUCUCAACAAUAACAAAAAAGAAUAUAUUCCUAAAUGGAAUAUAUAUUCCAUUACCCCCAACUUUAGGGGAAAUGCAUCAUAUGAGAUUGUGAGACAGGUUCUUUUUCAGAGUGAAAAACCAAAUGAGAAAUAUUGUUCUUGAAAAAAUGCACAUGAAGUCAGACUUAUUGAAAUGCUAACACUAAUUUAAAUUUCUCUAUGUGUACUGUGUCCGGCAUAACUUCUGCCAAUAUUUUUUAUACAACUUACUGAUUUUAAUAGAACAAAAUCAUUAUUGUUUUAAUUCUGAUAUGUUUUGGUAAAAAGUAUAUGCUGAAUUUCAAAAAAUAACUUUUGUUUAUAUAGAUUGACAUAAUUUUUCAUAUAUAACUACAGUUGAAAAUAAAAUGCAGAUGUGAACCUGUAGGUUCAUUUAACACAAAAUCAAUGAACACCCUCUACAGUAUAAUAAUCUUUUUAUAUAGACUGACAAGAUUAAUUAUAAAUAGAUUAUUUUUUCUAAUUGCUUCUAAUCUGUUCAACUGUAUAGAUGGGAACUAUCUUAGACAUAAUAUAUAAUAUAAAAGACCUGGAUUAGGCAAAUGUUGUUUCAUGUGUUAAAGAUAUCAUCGCAGAAUAUAAGCUGUUCCAAGUAAAGCUACCUUUUGCAAUUGACUGAUGGUGAUUUUGUCAAUGCUGAAGAUGUUCAGAUGCUGCUCCAGAUGCUUUGAGAUUGCACCCAGGGCACCUACUACUAUUGUAACUAUCUUUGAUUUCUUUGGCCAUAGUUGUUGUACUUCUUUUUCCAGAUCUUUCUGUUUUGUGAUUUUUCUCCAGUUCCUUUUCUUCUAUUCUGUUGUCUCUGGGUACUACCAUGUCCACUAGCCAGAUUUUUUUCAUCUUUCUUAUCAACACUUGUUAAGUCCGAGGUGUAAUGUUAUUAUCUGCUUUGCCUGUUUUUUUUUUAAAAAAAUGUACUGCUCAUGUCCCUUUUCUAUUCUUUAUUUGGUCUCUCCAGUGUUCAGUAACCCUUCAUGGUAUACUAACUUCAGUGCAUAUUCUAUUUCUUCACCUGUCUAAUAUACCUGCAACAUUCAAUGCCCACCUAUUUUUUUUUAGUAAGCAGAGUUUGUCAACAUUGCUGCAUAGAUAUUCAUUGUCAUUGUUGUUCUGGUUUUCCUAUCCAGGGCUUUUAAUUCAACUUGAAUCCAUUCCUAAUUCCAGUGUUGUAUCCAUUAAUUGGAAUUGCUCAGGUGUUAAUUGCAUUGAUUGUAUUUCUUCCAUUGAAUUUGAACUUUAAGAUCUUCUUCAUUCUCAUGAUGUAUUCAUUUCUAACCUUUUUCUUGACUUCAAUUUAAUUUUUCCCCCUUCUGUCAAAUAAAACAAUUUAAUUCAAUUUAAAUCUUUAGAAGGACAUCCAAGGCUUUGAAGGACAGAAUGUGGCUUACUCCUGACACUCAGCUUGCAGCAAAUCAUCAUUAGAGAGCUAGAUAAAUAAAAGCAGAGAGUGAGUGAAAUCACUCUGUGAACAAACUACAAGUUAAUCAAAUAUUUUCAAAUAAAAUUUGGAUAUUGUGCAGUUGAUUCUUUCUAUAAAUACUGAAUAAUUGGUUUAGCUAUUGUGGUAAUAAUAUUUUAUAUAGUAAUAAAUGUUAACUUAAAAUAUUCAAGGAAUUGGUGAGACUGUUUUUCAUUAUGGAUCAGCUGUCUCAUGUAGUUUAGUAAAUAUAUCCUGUGUGUGUAUCUCUAUCUCUGUGUGUGUGUGUGUGUGUGUGUGUGUCAUACUUCACCAACACAAUUUACUUGUAUGGAAAAAUCUAGCUAGUAAAGGAUAUAACUUACUUAAAUAAAUAAUUUCACAGACUUCUUGUUUCAGUUAUGAUAUUGUUACACAUCCUGUCAUUUAAACAACUCCAAUUGGUGGAGUCUAGAAAGAAAGCCUUCUCUGCCAUUGCUCCUCCAUGGAAUAUUCUUCCCCUGAAAGUGAGGCGGGCUCCCACUCUCCUGGCCUUCCCAAAGAGGUGUAGACAUGGCUCUGCAGCCUUCUGUGGAAAGCCCAAAGAAGCACACAGUCAUGGGGUUGGUUGUGCUAUGAGAGACCUCCCUUUGCUUUUGUCUGCUAAUUUUUAACAGGGUUUAAU
This is a long non-coding RNA of Crotalus tigris (Tiger rattlesnake), 3144 nucleotides long. RefSeq lists it as uncharacterized. The transcript is spliced from 4 exons. NCBI's taxonomy places the organism in Eukaryota, Metazoa, Chordata, Lepidosauria, Squamata, Viperidae. The record is from RefSeq and is a predicted model, not a curated record.